GUGCACCAGUCGAGAAUCAUCCGCAAUGCGCGCAAGCGUGACGGUGCGACGCCGCGUGCGGGAGGAAGCCCCUCGGGGUGUAAACCGCUUUUCAGGGGUAUGAAGCGGCUUCGGUGAAUAGCCGGAGUCGUUGACGUCAACCCCUGGAAUAAGCCCCUGCUAACUUCGUGCCAGCAGCCGCGGUAAUACGGAGGGGGCAAGCGUUGCUCGGGAAUCACUGGGCUUAGAGCGGGCGUAGGCGGUCCGGUCAGUCGGAUGUGAAAUACCUCGGCUUAACCGAGGAAGGGCGUCCGAUACUGCCGGGCUUGA
RNAcentral lists this ribosomal RNA (309 nucleotides) under uncultured microorganism. RNAcentral describes it as "bacterial SSU rRNA". It matches the Rfam family "Bacterial small subunit ribosomal RNA", at positions 346 to 645 of the family's 1533-position model. The record is from RNAcentral.